RNAcentral lists this long non-coding RNA (2834 nucleotides) under Olea europaea subsp. europaea. The record is from RNAcentral. Lineage: Eukaryota; Viridiplantae; Streptophyta; Magnoliopsida; Lamiales; Oleaceae.
GGGACGCAUCCUUUACUUGCAGCAGUUCCCAGUUCAGCUUCCCCUACCUGGAAGAGGCUGAAAUCAGUUGGGCCACGGACGGAUCCACACAUUGCUUGGCACCUUGGAACCGGUCAGAUUUUCUUCUGGCAUGAUUGUUGGAUGGGCGAGACCACGUUGGCAUCCCUAUUCCCCCACAGACAGCACACAUCUGCGAGGGUACAGGAUUUUUUUGACGACACUGGGUGGGAUUUUGGACGGUUAUUACAGGCCCUUCCUUCUCACAAGGCGGAAUAGAUAGGGGCAAUACCUUUAUGUGCAGAUACCCCGGACCGAAUUGUUUGGAAAAUUACUUCGGAUGGUGACUUUACCACCAAAUUAGCAUGGCAACUAGUCCGUUCGGUUCGCCAGCCUCAGGACUCAUAUCGACUGCUGUGGAGCUCUAUCUUGCCUACCACUAUUUCAUUCUUCUGCUGGAGACUGUGGCAGGAUCUCAUUCCAGUAGAUGUUGUUAUUCAGAGGAGAAUUGGAUGUCAGUUGGCUUCUCGUUGUCAGUGUUGUUCCGAGAUUGAGACCAUCAAUCAUAUUUUCACGAGCAGCAGCAUCUCCGACCAGGUAUGGCAGCACUUUGGAGACAUCUUUCAGAUACCUAUGACUUCAGGGGAGGGGGUCAGACAGAGGUUCCAGAGAUGGCGGUAUUCUGGACAGCACGUUUACCGUGGACACAUUCGUAUUAUCAUUCCUCUACUGAUAUUUUGGUUUCUAUGGACUGAGAGGAAUGAUGCGAAGCAUAGAGGUAUUCGUAUGGUGGCCAGACGUAUUAUUUGNAUUCAGGAGGAUGUUUACAGGGCGGUAUUGGACUUCUUUGAUGGUGGUCAUCUUCCACGGGGUUUUGCUGCUACUUCUAUUGUCUUGCUACCUAAGAAGGAUGGUGCUUGCAGAUGGACUGAAUUCAGACCAAUCAGUUUAUGCACAGUUUUCAAUAAGAUUAUUACUAAGCUUUUGAACACUCGGUUGAGUACAGUGCUACCGCGCAUUAUUUCCUCUCCACAGAGUGGUUUCAUCCCAGGCCGUCUGAGUGGAGAUAAUGUUUUAUUCGCACAGGAGCUUCUCUACACUUUGGAUGAUAGAGUGGGAGGGGGAAACACUAUGCUGAAGUUAGACAUGGCUAAAGCAUAUUAUCGCAUGGACUGGCGCUUCAUUUAUUCUGUAUUGGAGGCAUUUGGAUUUGAUCAGAUCUGGAUUGACAGAAUCAGGCGGUGCGUUUCGGAGUGUCGUUUCUCCGUACUCCUCAAUGGCCACCCAUGUGGUUUCUUUCCCUCCUCACGAGGACUCAGACAGGGUGAUCCUAUCUCCCCAUCCUUGUUCAUCAUUGCAGCAGACUACUUCUCACGCUUGCUCACUCAGAGGUUUCAGCAGUAUCCCAGUAUGUGUUAUCGGCAUGGAGGUAGUGCUCUUGUCUCACAUCUCUCAUUUGCUGAUGAUAUGAUCAUCUUUGCCAACGGUCAGAAACAGUCUAUCAGAAGGGUCUUAGACUGCUUGGAGCACUAUGAAGGAGUUUCUGGCCAAUUGGUGAAUAGAGACAAGAGCGGUAUUAUACUAUCCAGACGGGCAUCCACUAGUCAGAUCAGACGACUAGAGAUUUUGACUGGCUUCAGACAUCAGCAGCAGCCUUUCACUUACUUAGGUGUCCCCUUAUUCAAGGGGACUAAGAGGAGCUUCCUUUAUGAUGACCUUAUCCAGAAGAUAAGGAAUAGGAUAUCAGGUUGGGCCUCACGAUUACUAUCGCCUGGGGGUCGUAUUACAUUACUGAGGUCGUACUUUCUUCCAUACCUUUACAUCUUCUUCAGAUUAUGCAGCCGCCCAAGGCAGUGCUGAAGAAACUUGAGAGCAUCUUCGCCCAAUUCCUAUGGGAUUCUAAAGAUCAAGCACGACGUCUACAUUGGAGGAGUUGGAAGGCAAUUUGCCUUCCUACUGAUGAGGGAGGCCUCGACUUUAGGAGAUUACAGGAUGUGGUGGACACCUUCUCCAUGAAGCUCUAGUGGCUGUUCCGAUCUCAGAGGUCACUUUGGGCUCAGUUUUUACUGGGCAAGUAUUGUAAGGGGACGCAUCCUUUACUUGCAACAGUUCCCAGUUUAGCUUCCCCUACCUCAAAGAGGCUGAAAUCAGUUGGGCCACGGACGGAUCCACACAUUGCUUGGCACCUUGGAACCGGUCAGAUUUUCUUCUGGCAUGAUUGUUGGAUGGGCGAGUCCACAUUGGCAUCCCUAUUCCCCCACAGACAGCACACAUCUGCGAGGGUACAGGAUUUUUUUGACGACACUGGGUGGGAUUUUGGACGAUUAUUACGGGCCCUUCCUUCUCACAUGGCGGAACAGGUUGGGGCGAUACCUUUAUGUGCAAAUGCCACGGACCGAAUUGUUUGGAAAAUUACUUCGGAUGGUGACUUUACCACCAAAUCAGCAUGGCACCUAGUCCGUUCAGUUCACCAGCCUCAGGACUCAUAUCGACUGCUGUGGAGCUCUAUCUUGCCUACCACUAUUUCAUUCUUCUGCUGGAGACUGUGGCAGGAUCUCAUUCCAGUAGAUGUUGUUAUUCAGAGGAGAAUUGGAUGUCAGUUGGCUUCUCGUUGUCAGUGUUGUUCCGAAAUUGAGACCAUCAAUCAUAUUUUCACGAGCAGCAGCAUCUCCGACCAGGUAUGGCAGUACUUUGGAGACAUCUUUCAGAUACCUAUGACUUCAGGGGAGGGGGUCAGACAGAGGUUCCAGAGAUGGCGGUAUUCUGGACAGCACGUUUACCGUGGACACAUUCGUAUUAUCAUUCCUCUACUGAUAUUUUGGUUUCUAUGGACUGAG